GCUACGGGUGGCAGCAGUGGGGAAUAUUGCACAAUGGGGGAAACCCUGAUGCAGCGACGCCGCGUGAGUGAAGAAGUAAUUCGUUACGUAAAGCUCUAUCAGCAGGGAAGAAAUACUGACCUUACGGUCAGCAGACGGUACCUGAGUAAGAAGCCCCGGCUAACUACGUGCCAGCAGCCGCGGUAAUCCGGAGGGGGCAAGCGUUAUCCGGAUUUACUGGGUGUAAAGGGAGCGUAGACGGUGCGCCAAGGCUGGAGUGAAAGGCCGCCGAUUAACUGCGGAACUGCUUUGGAAACUGGCGAGCUAGAGUGCGGGAGGGGUAAGCGGAAUUCCUAGUGUAGCGGUGAAAUGCGUAGAUAUUAGGAGGAACACCGGUGGCGAAGGCGGCUUACUGGACCGUAACUGACGUUGAGGCUCGAAAGCGUGGGGAGCAAACAGGAUUAGAUACCCCGGUAGUC
This 458-nucleotide ribosomal RNA is filed under the name uncultured bacterium. RNAcentral describes it as "partial 16S ribosomal RNA". It matches the Rfam family "Bacterial small subunit ribosomal RNA", at positions 338 to 795 of the family's 1533-position model. The record is from RNAcentral.